RNAcentral lists this ribosomal RNA (381 nucleotides) under uncultured bacterium. RNAcentral describes it as "bacterial SSU rRNA". It matches the Rfam family "Bacterial small subunit ribosomal RNA", at positions 28 to 407 of the family's 1533-position model. The record is from RNAcentral.
GACGAACGCUGGCGGCGUGCUUAACACAUGCAAGUCGAGCGGUAAGGCCCUUUCGGGGGUACACGAGCGGCGAACGGGUGGGUAACGACGUGGGUGACCUGCCCUUAGCUCUGGGAUAAGCCUGGGAAACUGGGGUCUAAUACCGGAUAUGACUCCAUAACGCAUGGCUGUGGGGUGGAAAGCCUUGUGCGGCUAGGGAUGGGCCCGCGGCCUAUCAGCUUGUUGGUGGGGUGAUGGCCUACCAAGGCGACGACGGGUAGCCGGCCUGAGAGGGCGACCGGCCACACUGGGACUGAGACACGGCCCAGACUCCUACGGGAGGCAGCAGUGGGGAAUCUUGCGCAAUGGGCGAAAGCCUGACGCAGCGACGCCGCGUGGGGA